CUACAUACUUUUUCUUUCCAGACAAGUUCAGAUACCCUCCCAGGAUCUGACUAUAUACAGAAUGUCUUCAACAAGCACCAUCAGACAUGGAAGAGCAAGGACCAAGUUUGCUCAGAAGUUGUUUGGGGUUCUGAAGAGAUUAGAAGAGACUGAGAGGCCAGAAAUGCCAGACACAAAUGAAUGAUACAGAGUAAUUUUAAAAAAGGAGGAUUCACCCAUAGCACCGUAAUGAUUCAUUGGUCCUUUCCCACCUCUCCUCCACCUUCAUACAUGAACACGUGUGUGCACACGGGCUGUGAUACGAGUAAUGCUAAGACUGAUCAUGCUGUUCCCAAAUCCCAUGUACUGUUCAGGCAAGCCUUCAAUUCUCCAUGCUGGGAAGAGUGUGGGAUUAAACAGAGACAAGAUGGAGGGAGGAGGUGGGGAGAAAAGCUAGAGUGCAGCUGUGGAAAUUGGCAGGGAAGCAAGCGUAGGUUGGUCUUCCAAGGGGUUCGAGAUUCUUGUGUUUGUGAAUCUUAGGCAGGACUGCUGCACGACGCUGAUUGCAUGGAAGCCGGCCAUGCCACCUCCCUACUGCUCCUCCCGUGACACAUCUGCCGAGGCUGAGCCACCACCCUGCACCCACAGCAGGUGACAAUGUGUUGGCCAUUGUGACCUGUUGGAAACACUUGCAAACUCCCUGGAGCAGUGUGGGAGGGGAAGGAAAGGACAGUCUCUCUCAUCAUACAGUCCAGGGUGUGCACAACAAAACCCACCAUAGACCAGUCACUCCAUGUCUAGAAUCCUCCUCAUCUAGAAGGCCAAUAAAGCAUCGCAAGCCA
Non-coding RNA from Cyanistes caeruleus (blue tit), 821 nucleotides. The record is from RefSeq and is a predicted model, not a curated record. NCBI's taxonomy places the organism in Eukaryota, Metazoa, Chordata, Aves, Passeriformes, Paridae.